RNAcentral lists this long non-coding RNA (328 nucleotides) under Setaria viridis. Its description in RNAcentral is "long non-coding RNA (SVIR_LNC009227)". Lineage: Eukaryota; Viridiplantae; Streptophyta; Magnoliopsida; Poales; Poaceae. The record is from RNAcentral.
UAGCAUUCAAACAGGGGCAAAUCAUAACUAAGCAUCAACUCAUGGGUGAUAUAGCAUUAGAUUUUAGAAAGCAGUUAUCUCAUUAAGUAAACAAGAUCAUCAAGAGCAUAACUGCAUAUUGCAUCAAAGUAACCAACCAAAGCACUAUCUCACAAGUAGCAUAAGGUAGUAUAUAGGGCAUACAAGAGAAGCUCAUCUAAUGCAAUAUGAUACAAAUGCAACAUGAUACAGAUGCAAUAAAAGCCAAACAAGAAAAAUGACUAUACAUAUAUGAUACAAGAGAAGCACCAAAACCCAACUUAGAAAGGAAAGCAAACACCCAACUCCC